CCGUAACUUCGGGAGAAGGCACGCUGACACGUAGGUGAAGUGAUUUACUCACGGAGCUGAAGUCAGCCGAAGAUACCAGCUGGCUGCAACUGUUUAUUAAAAACACAGCACUGUGCAAACACGAAAGUGGACGUAUACGGUGUGACGCCUGCCCGGUGCCGGAAGGUUAAUUGAUGGGGUCAGCGCAAGCGAAGCUCCUGAUCGAAGCCCCGGUAAACGGCGGCCGUAACUAUAACGGUCCUAAGGUAGCGAAAUUCCUUGUCGGGUAAGUUCCGACCUGCACGAAUGGCGUAAUGAUGGCCAGGCUGUCUCCACCCGAGACUCAGUGAAAUUGAACUCGCUGUGAAGAUGCAGUGUACCCGCGGCAAGACGGAAAGACCCCGUGAACCUUUACUAUAGCUUGACACUGAACAUUGAGCCUUGAUGUGUAGGAUAGGUGGGAGGCUUUGAAGUGUGGACGCCAGUCUGCAUGGAGCCGACCUUGAAAUACCACCCUUUAAUGUUUGAUGUUCUAACGUGGACCCGUGAUCCGGGUUGCGGACAGUGUCUGGUGGGUAGUUUGACUGGGGCGGUCUCCUCCUAAAGAGUAACGGAGGAGCACGAAGGUUGGCUAAUCCUGGUCGGACAUCAGGAGGUUAGUGCAAUGGCAUAAGCCAGCUUGACUGCGAGCGUGACGGCGCGAGCAGGUGCGAAAGCAGGUCAUAGUGAUCCGGUGGUUCUGAAUGGAAGGGCCAUCGCUCAACGGAUAAAAGGUACUCCGGGGAUAACAGGCUGAUACCGCCCAAGAGUUCAUAUCGACGGCGGUGUUUGGCACCUCGAUGUCGGCUCAUCACAUCCUGGGGCUGAAGUAGGUCCCAAGGGUAUGGCUGUUCGCCAUUUAAAGUGGUACGCGAGCUGGGUUUAGAACGUCGUGAGACAGUUCGGUCCCUAUCUGCCGUGGGCGCUGGAGAACUGAGGGGGGCUGCUCCUAGUACGAGAGGACCGGAGUGGACGCAUCACUGGUGUUCGGGUUGUCAUGCCAAUGGCACUGCCCGGUAGCUAAAUGCGGAAGAGAUAAGUGCUGAAAGCAUCUAAGCACGAAACUUGCCCCGAGAUGAGUUCUCCCUGAGACUUUAGGUCUCCUGAAGGAACGUUGAAGACGACGACGUUGAUAGGCCGGGUGUGUAAGCGCAGCGAUGCGUUGAGCUAACCGGUACUAAUGAACCGUGAGGCUUAACCUUACAACGCCGAAG
This 1232-nucleotide ribosomal RNA is filed under the name Salmonella enterica subsp. enterica serovar Typhi. RNAcentral's name for it is "partial 23S ribosomal RNA". It matches the Rfam family "Bacterial large subunit ribosomal RNA", at positions 1728 to 2925 of the family's 2925-position model. Lineage: Bacteria; Pseudomonadati; Pseudomonadota; Gammaproteobacteria; Enterobacterales; Enterobacteriaceae. The record is from RNAcentral.